GACGAACGCUGGCGGCGUGCUUAACACAUGCAAGUCGAACGGUGAAGCUCCAGCUUGCUGGAGUGGAUCAGUAGCGAACGGGUGAGUAACACGUGAGCAACCUGCCCCAGACUCUGGAAUAAGCGCUGGAAACGGCGUCUAAUACUGGAUACGAGAGCAAGCCGCAUGGUUAUGGUCUGGUAAGUUUUUCGGUUUGGGAUGGGCUCGCGGCCUAUCAGCUUGUUGGUGGGGUAAUGGCUCACCAAGGCGACGACGGGUAGCCGGCCUGAGAGGGCGACCGGCCACACUGGGACUGAGACACGGCCAAGCCUCCUACGGGAGGCAGCAGUGGGGAAUAUUGCACAAUGGGCGAAAGCCUGAUGCAGCGACGCCGCGUGGGGGAUGACGGCCUUCGGGUUGUAACCCUCUUUCAGCAGGGAAGAAGCGAAAGUGACGGUACCUGCAGAAGAAGCACCGGCUAACUACGUG
Molecule: ribosomal RNA, 468 nt
Filed under: uncultured bacterium
Lineage: Bacteria
Description: partial 16S ribosomal RNA
Rfam family: Bacterial small subunit ribosomal RNA
Source: RNAcentral